GCUCGAGUGGUGGAAUGGUAGACACAAGGGACUUAAAAUCCCUUGGGCGUUAGCCCGUGCGGGUUCGAGUCCCGCCUCGAGCA
Molecule: transfer RNA, 83 nt
Filed under: Candidatus Sacchlamyda saccharinae
Lineage: Bacteria; Pseudomonadati; Chlamydiota; Chlamydiia; Parachlamydiales; Candidatus Rhabdochlamydiaceae
Description: tRNA-Leu
Rfam family: tRNA
About the family: Transfer RNA (tRNA) molecules are approximately 80 nucleotides in length.
Source: RNAcentral